Long non-coding RNA from Quercus robur (English oak), 3848 nucleotides. RefSeq lists it as uncharacterized. NCBI's taxonomy places the organism in Eukaryota, Viridiplantae, Streptophyta, Magnoliopsida, Fagales, Fagaceae. The record is from RefSeq and is a predicted model, not a curated record. The transcript is spliced from 4 exons.
GUAAUUAUUUUGUUCUUUUUUCAUUUUUAGCACUGAAAAGUGAAAACUUUCUUAUUUGGCAUUAAUCAUACUUUUUGUCAAUUCCAUGUUGCAACUCUUGUUUUUAGUACUCUGGUGUUGCUACUCAGUUUUUACAAUUACAAGCUAAACAGCAACAGUAAUCAGAGCUGGGUUUUUUAUUUUUUAUUUUUAUUUUUUAUAAAUAAAUUCUUCGAUUUCUUUUUUUGGGGGGCUUUCUGGUUAAAACGAGUCUGUGUUAAUAGUUUUUCCUACGUUGGAGCUAUAACAUGAAUUUGAUUUUCUUCCUAGAAUAAGCUGAUCGAAUAACUUAGGUUCUUACAAUGGAAAACUCAAAAUUCUCCUUUUUCUGUAAUAAAAUUAUAUAUUUUUGAGGUAAAUUUUGUAGUUCUUUUGCUUGUCUGAUAUUCGGAUGCUUUUUUCUCCAUGUUUUGUUUUGAAAAGACUUAGGCCUUCCUGCGAGGAUGAUACAAACAGAGUUAGAGGCCUUAAUUACUACUAGGAUGAAGCAGUUCAUAUUAUGUCUUGCUAUAUCUUCCUCUCUUUUUUUCUCAUCGUUUUGGAGGAGUAAAGGAGAUAGAGAUUUCACUUAAUCAAGAGGCCUUUAACUGUCUUACUAUAAUCUAUUAAUGCAACGUAUAUAGUCUACCUAAAGAAAAUCAUAUAAAUAGUUUUGAAUCAAUUUAGUUUGUAAUUAACAUAAUCGAGUCCUUCUAAAAUGAUUUUUGGUGCAAUGGAGAAUGUAUGGAAGUAGAUCAAUAAUUGAGGAUGGCUUGCAAAAAUAGAUAAUGAACUAGUGAAGGAUGACGUUAGAGAAUAGUUGGGUAAAGUUCCAACAACUUAAGCUCAAUAGAUUGUCGUAUCUCAAUAAGUAGAAUUUAUUAUUUUUUAAACCUCACUUGAUAUAUCAAAUGUACCCAAAAUCAAAUUAAAAAUUAAAAAAAAAUCAUAAUUUUGAAAGAUGUUUAAUCAUAUUUUAUUAGAUUUUAUAAAUGGUCACCACAGAUUAUAUCCAUUACGGAUAACUCACAAGAUAAUGAUAAGCAGAAUAUUUUGUGUAGUAUAUUGUAUUUAGAUGUUGAUUUUUGUUGAUGAAAUUCUCUUUCAUAUGUUGUAUUACUAGAUAAGCAAAUUUAAUACAAAAGAAAUUUUUAAUUAUUUGAACAAUACAAAGAUCAGUUGGACAUUUUUCUAUAAUUUCUUCGUUUAGAAUCACUUUAUGAUAUCAGAGCCAUCAUGGCCUUACUUGCACAUUUUUAUCUACCUCAACAAAGUAUCUUUACCCAUAAACCCUUAACCUAUCAUAAAAAAAAAAAAAAAUCCUUAACCUAAGGAAGACACAAAUCAUAUGGGUUUAAUUGAAAGUUGGAACCUGGAGAUAUGCUUGGAUUUCUCUAUGGAAGAUUUCUAAUGUCCAAAAGAUUUGUGAUUACCUUAGGGUGUGUUUGGAUACCGCUUAUUUUGUUGAAAGUGAAAAAUUAUUACUAAAAAUACUAUAAAUAAAAGUAAAAGUUAGUUGAAAUAGUAUAGUGAAGCCAUAAAUAGUAGUAAAAAUAAGUUAAAUAGUGAAAUAAUUUUCAUUUUUCAUCCUAACCCAAACGCACACUUAAUUUGCUAAAGCUGCAUACGAGAAACAUUUUGUUGAUAAUAAUGACUUUGCAUUAUGGACAAGGUAAAAUCGCCUACCCCACGGUUGGAUUGCCGGUAUCAUAGCAGAAGAAGUACUUGAGCUAUUUGGUGGACUAAACACUAUCAGCCAAAGGACAAAAACUUUAUAACAGCUCACUCAAUCACAGACAGAUAGAAUGAUGUUUGGUGCAUGUCCUAAUUCUGCAGCUUCACCACAUAUGGCUUCAUACAAUGGUGUCCCCAGGUUUUUAUCCCAGAACUAAUCCUUCGAGGUACCAUCGAGCGCUAAGGCAAGGACCUCUCCCAAGAAAGUUUGCUGCAUCCACAAAGGCCCGAAACCGAGACCACUUACUUAAGCAACCAGAGCCCCUUCCACUUAGGCCACCCUUUGUUGGAGGUAAGGGAGGAAGGGUAACCGGGUAAGGUUUAUGGAAUGCUAAGUGCAAUGAGAAUGGUGGAAGCGCUCUCUACAGAACCAAAUUUUGUCAUGAUGCCAUUGUCUUCGCUAUUGAUAUAACAACACACGGUGUGUACGUAAUACUGAUUCACCUCAGCUUUAUGCGAUGCUAAUACUGCUAACACGUACUCAGACAGGUAAUGAAAUUAGAUGCAAUGAUUGUACGAGUUUCACUUUGGCAAAAUUCAAAAGAAAAAUGAUGAACGGUGACCAAAAUAUAUAUGAAAAUGGUUUUUAUGUUGUGGUUUACCCUCCUGAUUACUAGAUAACGGAGACUAUCCAGGCAGAAUGAAGCUUAAUAUAUUAUGAUAGUUUAAAGUACUACUAAGUGCAUCAAUGCCUCUGUGAUGUCACUGCGCAACAUGGUUGUUGAUUCCAAUGUAUUCUAUUGCAAGAAUUUAUCAAUAUUCACUUGAGAAAAAUUGUCAUUUAAUUAAGAAAGGAAAAUUUUGGUAAACAUCCCUUAACAUACAUAGUACACCAGCUCUCAAAAAAUAUGGGAAAAGUCACAAUUUCCUUUAUUUUUAAAAAGUAUGUAUUAUGUGUGCAAGUGUGUGUAAUAGACAUUUCUCUUAAAAAAAAAGUGUGUGUUUCAUUUUCAUCUUCAAGAAGAUGAUUUCUUUUUCAUCUGUAAUGUGUGUUUCUUUUACAUUCUUGUUUCUCUUAUUUUACUUUUUGAAAAUUUAGCUUCAAUGAAAAGGCAAAUAAUUUAAUUGAUAAUUCUAUUUAUGUCAAACUAUCUUUUUGGCAAGUAUGCAUGUCAAAUUAUCAUUCCGCCUUUUGUUAUAAAUGGUGGCUUAUUUUAUAAAUUAGAAUGUAAUAUUGAUCUUUAGUAUAGAGGAGCAAGUGGAGUGCAUAUAGAAAUGAUAUAUAGGCUUCCAAUAAUACAUACCUAGGGUCCAACUUGUGAUCUUAUGAAUGGGACAUGCUAAUAUGGAGCCUACUAAUAAUUGGAAUCGAAGAUCUACCAAGUCCCGUCAUUUAAUAAUUAGGAUUUUUUUUAAUGCAUUUUGUUGUUUUCUAUUUAAGCACAAUUCUCAAUUUUGUAAAACAACUUUGGGAUUGGUAAUAUAUUUUUAUUUUUUAGUUUUACAACUAGUGUUGACUUUAAUCACGCUUGGUGCUAACUCCUAGCAACCCUAACUGUUUACUCCUAGCAACCCUAGCUGUUUACUCCUAAGUUUUAUCCCUUAUUUCUCUGCUGGUUAUUUUUCAUUCACAUUAUUUUGGUUGUCUUGCGUCCAGAUAAUGAGUGGUAUAUUGAGAAUUCCAAUGUACCAGGUUAUGAGGUUUUGACCAAGUAUGUACAUGUUGCAAAGUUUGUAACAUGUACAUAUAGAAAAAAUUUCCAUCCCUUGUGGGGAUAUGUAGGUAAUACUCUCUGUUGAUUUUCUCUCGCUCUAUCUUUAUUUUUCAUUAAAUUGCUUAAAUUGACAAUCUUUUUUCUUUUUUUCUCUUGUUUGUAGGUUUUGGUUUUUGCUAAAUUUCCCCUAACUUCCAUCAUAUGCUAGGAGUUGUGUCAGUGGGAAAAAGUAAAAAACCAUCAAGUUCAGAAUUCAGGAAUUGCCAGAAAAGAAUGAGUCUGACCGCUGAUCCAAAUGGUCGCAUGGGCAUGUGUAUCUAAACCUCCAACAUAUAGUAUUUACUCACAUAAUUGUUUUUCACACUAUAGGGCAGGUAAUUUUUUUUUUUUUUUGGGAGAAAUUACAUGUGAUUUUUAUUCUUUUGAAAGAGUUUCAACUUA